CCUGUCCAUUUUAUUCUUUACUCGCAAUUCGAUUUGUGCUGUUGUUUAUUUCUACACAUGAUUAAUUGAACUUUAAAAUUGCUCGAAUGUCUGUUCAUCUAGAGUUGUGGCUGUUGAGAUUUUGAUUUCUUUUUUUUUGACGGAAAAACUUUACUCAUUCAGAAACUGGAAGAUUCUUACAAUCAGCUUACCAUACAUGCGUGGCGUCAGCCGGUAGCGAGCCCAACAUGACAUUCUGAGCCAGACCUUCUCUACUAAUCUUUGCUAGAGUGUGGGCAACCGAGUUCGCAUUCCUGUGUUCUUUCACGAU
This 310-nucleotide long non-coding RNA is filed under the name Brachypodium distachyon (stiff brome). RNAcentral describes it as "long non-coding RNA (BDIS_LNC002941)". Lineage: Eukaryota; Viridiplantae; Streptophyta; Magnoliopsida; Poales; Poaceae. The record is from RNAcentral.